Molecule: non-coding RNA, 24 nt
Filed under: Gossypium hirsutum (cotton)
Lineage: Eukaryota; Viridiplantae; Streptophyta; Magnoliopsida; Malvales; Malvaceae
Source: RNAcentral
AGCCCAUUUGGGGAGACUACUCAG